UAUUGACACAUUUCUUAUUUAAGUUUGAGCCAUGGUUCACCAGUGAGUGCAAAGUUGUCAUUGAAUCCCUCACCUAAUAGUUAUUGGGCCCAAUCCCAUCUUUACCCCAAGGCAUCUGAUGCCAAUAGAGUGGUUGUAUUUUUUUGAUGCAAUUGAAUUACUGUAACUAGCCGAAAAUGAUCAAUGCCGAAAAAAGUACCUGCAUCUCUAUAAUGGUGGAAGACCAGUAGA
Molecule: long non-coding RNA, 231 nt
Filed under: Elaeis guineensis (African oil palm)
Lineage: Eukaryota; Viridiplantae; Streptophyta; Magnoliopsida; Arecales; Arecaceae
Description: long non-coding RNA (EGUI_LNC023404)
Source: RNAcentral